Molecule: ribosomal RNA, 3547 nt
Filed under: Triticum aestivum (bread wheat)
Lineage: Eukaryota; Viridiplantae; Streptophyta; Magnoliopsida; Poales; Poaceae
Description: partial small subunit ribosomal RNA
Source: RNAcentral
GGGAGGGACUGCCGGAGGCGGAAGAGGGAGAGCGGGUCUCGUCCCGCCGGCCGCGCGGGGGGGAGAAGAGGGGUGGGCUGCGACCACGGCCGGCGGGCUCGUGGAGGGGCAGGCGGGCGCGGAGCUCGGCGGCGGCCACGAGGAGGACAGCGGGAGGGGCGAGUGGAGGCCGCGUCGAGCAACAUCACUUCUCGAUAAUAAACCGCCGCCGUUCCUCUUCCCGCGGCUCCUCCACUGCGGCCGGCCGCAGCACGGAGGGACGUAGCAGCGGAGGCUGGAGUGGUACAUCGAGGACACUGCUCAUUACCCCUACCUUUUAAUAGUUGUUACCCCACACGUAAGCGACGACAAUGCCACAAAAGAAACUGCGACGGCGAGGACCUCGUGGUCGAGCUAAAAAAGAGUAUGACGACAAGGGGCUCGUGGUCGUGUUCCGCUUUAAAAACGUCCGGCAGAACAAGUUGUGGGCGUCCACUCGCGAGUCCGGACCCAAACAUAACAAGAGCCGAACUCAUAUACCCUGAGCUUGACACUACCUAUAGUACACUCCUUUCUUCCAAAUCAUACGUUAAUACCACAUGUGGUCUCUUUGUACACACAAAAAGGGAUACUUCUGUAGAUGAAGAAGUCUAUUAACUACAAAGACAUGAUUGGUAGUAGUUUAUUCCACUCUCAUGAAAUCCCAACUCAUUUACAAAGUCAACCUACAACUUAAUGGGGUAGUUCUCUUCGACUUGUUUCUUCUCACAACACCACAACCGUUUCAGUUUAAAGCGCCGCGGACGAAGUUUGGUGUGACGGUAAAAACCCUUUAGUUCGCAGGCGUGAUACCAAAGAUAUUUUGACUCUCCUAUAAGUAAAAUGGCCGCGACCGUUCCUCCAGUUCUUCCCUCGUUGAAGGUAACCAAGGUUCCUACGGCCGCUGGGGACGGUACCGUUUGGCCGUCACCUGCUCGAGCCGGACCUGCAUGGUGAAGUUCCGGAGUCCGACGAGGGGCUCGGGGUUCCCUGGUUUGGGCAUUAGCGGUCCGUCGGACGUAGGUCUUCGCGGUUCGAUAGGUAGUCGGAUUGUUGCUUGGUAGCGGCGGACGUCUCUUGUGGCCGUCUCCAACGGUGUCAACUGACUGCACGGCAGCUCCAUGCGGCCAUCCAGGUCGGGUCUGUCGGUGCGCGAGGCGCCACCGAGCCUGCCGCUUGGCCCGAGCACUGCUGACUUGUAACACAGGUCCGUACCACCAGCACGAGGACGACUUUCCACACCCACCGGACCUCCUCUCCCACGUCUGAGAAGGUACCCACAAUCGACGAUUGCGGUACUGGCGGCGGCAGCCUAAACCGACCAACUAGGGAACGAGCGGACUGGCGUCGACCGCUCCCAGGAAGAACCGACGUCGACAAAACCAACCCCGCACACCCACCACGCAGCCUGCCCAGUUUUUCGACACCUAUACCUUGAUCUCCGCAAGCGUGAAGCAUCGAGGUCACCGACAGUCUCAGACGUCGAACACAAGAAAAAAACGAAAGGACUCCCCUACGUCGAACACACGACCGGCCUCACAUAACUUGCCAAUAUUACGUCGAUGGCUUGAUCCAUACGGAUAAACACGAAUACACUAGACGCCUUUAAACGUAAGCAUGAUACUUAGCCGGUCGGAUGGAUGUUGUAAGUCUACAACAUAGACGAGCAAACCUCUUAUCUCUACAGAUACCUUGAACCCUUGUCACAGAACCCAACCUCACUUGACUAUGACGUUAUUUUGCCGGAUAUGUCGGAUAAUUCAUACGUCAACAGAACGACCCUCGUAGAGCGUGUUACAUAGGUCUCUCUACGACGGUGACCACUAUGUAGACACGCUUCGGUCUAGGUCUUACUCAGCUGUCUCAACCCUCAUCGCUAUGUUGUAGACCUCCGAUACGAAAAACUCGAACCUGCCUGUUACUACUGCGAAUCUUACCCCGGUAGAGGACAUACGUAAAAAGAUGAUACAGUGAUAGUGUGUUCACUAAGUGUUCCAAAUUCAUAAGACUAUCGAAAAAAUAAAACAUCCGAUUACGAAAACAUUUACGAUCCGUACGACAAAUAUGUUUGGGGUGACCUGGUUCAGGUUAGUACCAAGUCCGAUGGACAUAUCGAAACGAAAGGAUAGUACUUGACGACAGUUGAAACAAAACCCGAUAGUACGAUCGUACGUGACAUUGUACAUAGUGAUACAUAAUUGUACGAUGGAUUCAUAGAUAAAGAAAUAUGAAAUUCCUAGAAUAAUAGUCAGGAAUUUGUUUAGAAUGCACGUACUAAACGUACGAACCAAACAACAGCGGGAAACGUGGUAGCCGCGUUGCCCACCAGUCGACGAAAAAAUACACACUCUUACAGUCCUUAGAAAGAUAUACACGGGUCUAAAUAAACCACACGGACGAUACAAAGUGAAAGUGACGAGAAACAUAUUUAACUCUUUAAGAACUAAGAAAAAUACAAUAAAGAAAUGUACUUCCUAGGUCUAAUUUUAGAUUACACAAUAAGAACGACCGAAUCAAAUUUGUUUACGUAAAAUCUAGUGGAUGAAGAGUCAAGUACGUAAAACCUAGGUUUCGGAGGCAAUCUAAAAACCUACACGAGAGAAUCCAUCCAAAAGAAAAGAGAAAGAAAGGAAGGAGAACCCUGACAAUAAGAGACAGACAUAUAUAAACGAAGCUAACUUUAUUUCCUGGUACCCCGAAAACGAGGUACCACCCAUCACCUUUUUUUGAUUGUACAUAAACCAAAUUUGACGAACUUCAAUUGUUCCUGGUUCAUUGUAUGAUACACGAACGAGACAAACCAGCACCGUAUACUUAGACUAAUCUAGUAGCAUCAACUUAUUAAUCUUUGGAACCCCUCCUUAUACUACACACAAAAACAAAGUCAAUGUCUCUGAACCAGAGCACAAUACGGAGUAUUCCAGCUCCGUACACAAUGCCUCCGAUCCUUCUAAUAAAACGACAACAACUAAUCAAAAAAAAACUAUUACGUUUUUGUGGAUACAUGAUUAUUGGAUAUAUGAUUACAUGAUUGUUAGCAAAGGAAGAAAAGGUAACGUCAUUCAUCUUCAAUAUAAAAAAGGGACUGGUAAGGAAAGAAAAGGAUCCGGUCGCUAAACGAAAGGCGAGUCUAAUGCGACAGACGUCUGACGUCGGAGGAUAAACACUGCGGCACCUUGGAUUCCUAAAGGCCGCUAUGCGUCAGUCAUCCUCCCCUGCAAAAGUAGCUACUGCUCCACGAAUGCCACUGAAGUAUUAAAAGUUCUACUAUACAGCCGAGUCAGAAAGCCUCCACAAGUAUCCCCAUCCCACACGCACACACGCAAGUAUCCCUACUCAUAUACUCGCGAACGCAGACAUGACACAAUUUUUUUUGGAAAACUGGUAAAUGAACAAAUUUGGCUUCGUAGUUUUCAUGUUAAACAAACAUGGUAACAUAUGGUGUACUACUUGAGAUCUUUAUCUCAUAUUAUCUCAUAUUACGACUUAUAUAAGAGAUAAUAAUUAUAAUAGUUAAGCACUCUGAGUG